GUGGGGAAUUUUGGACAAUGGGCGCAAGCCUGAUCCAGCAAUGCCGCGUGCAGGAAGAAGGCCUUCGGGUUGUAAACUGCUUUUGUACGGAACGAAACGGUCCUGGUUAAUACCUGGGGCUAAUGACGGUACCGUAAGAAUAAGCACCGGCUAACUACGUGCCAGCAGCCGCGGUAAUACGUAGGGUGCGAGCGUUAAUCGGAAUUACUGGGCGUAAAGCGUGCGCAGGCGGUGCUGUAAGACAGGCGUGAAAUCCCCGGGCUCAACCUGGGAAUUGCGCUUGGGACUGCAGUGCUGGAGUGCGGCAGAGGGGGAUGGAAGUCCGCGUGUAGCAGUGAAAUGCGUAGAUAUGCGGAGGAACACCGAUGGCGAAGGCAAUCCCCUGGGCCUGCACUGACGCUCAUGCACGAAAGCGUGGGGAGCAAACAGGAUUAGAAACCCGGGUAGUCC
RNAcentral lists this ribosomal RNA (450 nucleotides) under uncultured bacterium. Its description in RNAcentral is "partial 16S ribosomal RNA". It matches the Rfam family "Bacterial small subunit ribosomal RNA", at positions 354 to 796 of the family's 1533-position model. The record is from RNAcentral.